Small nucleolar RNA from Vicia villosa (hairy vetch), 85 nucleotides. RefSeq annotates it as small nucleolar RNA snoR14. The transcript has a single exon. Lineage: Eukaryota; Viridiplantae; Streptophyta; Magnoliopsida; Fabales; Fabaceae. The record is from RefSeq and is a predicted model, not a curated record.
GGGAAAAGAAAAGCAAUAUGAUGUUGUCUGUGAAUCCACUGAUAUUCUUUGAUUAAUUUCAUGAAUCCCAACAGGUUCUGAUCGU